GUUAAAUUGUGAUUUUAAUGAAUGGAGCGAAUUUGGAGCAGCAGUUCUUUUCCUGUGAGCUUUGAGGGGUUUUUAGCGGAAGUGGUUGGAAAGGAAAUUGAGUGCAGAGCGGGGCAAGUACAGCUCCAUGAGCAAUGAGUGGGAUUUCCAACCGCUCAACUCUGCUCACAUCCUCUGAAUGGGACACGUUUGAAUACAGACAAAAGCCUCUCAUUUUAAUAUGUGUCCGCAGUGGUUCUGUGUAGCCUAGUUAUGCUAUUAUAUUUGAGACCAGUGUAUUGCAGUGAAUUUCAUCUGACUUAAUAAGUAAAAUAUCUUUGCGUAGUAAACAGAGUAACAAUGAGUCCCAGGCAGUUCGCAAUACCAGAGGGGGGCAUCGUUUACUAGGCUACCUAAAUUAUUGGGAUCAUCUGGGUUACCACCAGUGUUUGGAAUACAUUGAGCUCGUCAACAAAACAGACCAUGGGACGCCUACCGAGGGAAGGCUAUUAGAAGGGGCCUGGCAGAAAAUGCUGCAUCUUCAGUCAUAUUCAAUUAGAUUACAGGAAAAAACUAUGGGAUGAAGGGGUCAGGCCUGACUAACAAAGAAGACAGGAGGAUGGAUCAAGAGGACCAAGACAACCAAGAGGAUCAACAUGGACAUUCCACAGUGGAGAUAAGGAAAACUAAGAGUGCACCGUUAAAAAAUGUGGGGUCACUUAGAAAUGUCCUUGUUUUGGAAAAAAAAGCACAUUUUCUGUCCAUUAAAAUAACAUCAAAUUGAUCAGAAAUACAGUGUAGACAUUGUUAAUGUUGUAAAUGACUAUUGUAGCUGGAAAUGGCAGAUUUUUUUAAUGUAAUAUCUACAUAGGCGUACAGAGGCCCAUUAUCAGCAACCAUCACUCCUGUGUUCCAAUGGCACAUUUUGUUAGUUAAUCCAAGUUGAUCAUUUAGCACUUUGUGACAUCAGCUGAUGUAAGAAGGGCUUUAUAAAUACAUUUGAUUGACUGACUAGUUGAGUAUCUGGAGCAUCAGCAUUUGUGGAUUUGAGUAUAGGCUCAAAAUGGCCAGAGUUUCUUCUGAAACUCGUCAGUCUAUUCUUGUUCUGAGAAAUGAAGGCUAUUCAAUGCAAGAAAUUGCCAAGAAACUGAAGAUCUCGUACAACGCUGUGUACUACUCCCUUCACAAGACAGCGCAAACUGUCUCUAACCAGAAAGAGGAGUGGGAGGCCCCGGUGCACAACUGAGCAAGAGGACAAGUACAUUAGAGUGUCUAGUUUGAGAAACCGACGCCUCACAAGUCCUCAACUGGCAACUUCAUUAAAUAGUACCUGCAAAACACCAGUCUCAACGUCAACAGUGAAGAGACGUCUCCGGGAUGCUGGCCUUCUAGGCAGAGUUUCAAAGAAAAGCCAGUGGAUGAAGAUCCUGAAAAAAAAUAUCAACUGGCCCAAAUCAGCUCUACAUAAUUCAGCAGGGAGGUGUGCAACUACCACACAUUAUACAGUGGAGAAACUACAUCACCUACGAAGUGGCCUUCAAAAUUCAACAUUAGCCAUGGUGACAAUCCAGGAUGACUUCUGCCGUGCUCAAAACAACUGGAAACUCGGAACUGGGAAAUCAGACUUCAGUGAGUUCAAGACAUCUGGGACCUCUGAAAAAAAGAGCUCCGACUGGGAAAAUACGUUUUGAACGGUCAUCUGACUCGGAAUUGCAAGUCGGGAACUCUUGCCUCUUUCUAGAGCUCUGACCUGAAGAUCACUUAUGUCAUCAUGAUUCAACAUAGUUUUUUUCCGAGUUCCUAGUUGUCUUGAAAGCGCCAUAAAUCCAGAGAAUGCCAGACUUUGAUGACCAGUAGUUCAUUGUUCAGGGAAAAGUUAUAGGGAAAAUGGUGACCUAGAACUUUUAAGUGUGUGCCCUCAGGCCACUACUCUACUAUCACAUAUCUACAACACAUAAUCCAUGUGUAUUUUUGUGUCUG
RNAcentral lists this long non-coding RNA (1959 nucleotides) under Salmo salar (Atlantic salmon). RNAcentral's name for it is "lncRNA (ENSSSAG00000088355.1)". The record is from RNAcentral. Lineage: Eukaryota; Metazoa; Chordata; Actinopteri; Salmoniformes; Salmonidae.